AACGAACGCUGGCGGCAUGCCUAACGCAUGCAAGUCGAACGAGACCUUCGGGUCUAGUGGCGCACGGGUGCGUAACGCGUGGGAACCUGCCCUUAGGUUCGGAAUAACUCUCCGAAAGGGGUGCUAAUACCGGAUAAUGUCUUCGGACCAAAGAUUUAUCGCCUUUGGAUGGGCCCGCGUUGGAUUAGCUAGUUGGUAGGGUAAAAGCCUACCAAGGCGACGAUCCAUAGCUGGUCUGAGAGGAUGAUCAGCCACACUGAGACUGAGACACGGCCCAGACUCCUACGGAAGGCAGCAGUGGGGAAUAUUGGACAAUGGGCGAAAGCCUGAUCCAGCAAUGCCGCGUGAGUGAUGAAGGCCUUAGGGUUGUAAAGCUCUUUUACCCGGGAUGAUAAUGACAGUACCGGGAGAAUAAGCUCCGGCUAACUCCGUG
RNAcentral lists this ribosomal RNA (433 nucleotides) under uncultured bacterium. RNAcentral describes it as "partial 16S ribosomal RNA". It matches the Rfam family "Bacterial small subunit ribosomal RNA", at positions 29 to 507 of the family's 1533-position model. The record is from RNAcentral.